GCGGAGGUGUCGGAAUUGGCAGACGAGCAAGACUAAGGAUCUUGUGGCGGUUACGUCGUGUGGGUUCAAGUCCCAUCCUCCGCA
This 84-nucleotide transfer RNA is filed under the name Eubacteriales bacterium. Its description in RNAcentral is "tRNA-Leu". It matches the Rfam family "tRNA". From Rfam's summary of the family: Transfer RNA (tRNA) molecules are approximately 80 nucleotides in length. Their secondary structure includes four short double-helical elements and three loops (D, anti-codon, and T loops). The record is from RNAcentral. Lineage: Bacteria; Bacillati; Bacillota; Clostridia; Eubacteriales.